Non-coding RNA from Schizothecium vesticola, 122 nucleotides. The record is from the annotation of a GenBank genome assembly. Lineage: Eukaryota; Fungi; Ascomycota; Sordariomycetes; Sordariales; Schizotheciaceae.
GCAACUUUAGCUCAGUUGGGAGAGCGUCAGACUGAAGUCCACUUCAUCUAGCAUCUCCUCCCUCUCCCUCGAGGGAGGGAAUUGCAAUCUGAAGGUCACCCGUUCGAUCCGGGUAAGUUGCA